RNAcentral lists this ribosomal RNA (210 nucleotides) under uncultured bacterium. RNAcentral's name for it is "partial 16S ribosomal RNA". It matches the Rfam family "Bacterial small subunit ribosomal RNA", at positions 1290 to 1500 of the family's 1533-position model. The record is from RNAcentral.
AGUUCGGAUUGCAGGCUGCAACUCGCCUGCAUGAAGCUGGAAUUGCUAGUAAUCGCGGAUCAGCAAGCCGCGGUGAAUACGUUCCCGGGCCUUGUACACACCGCCCGUCACACCAUGGGAGCCGGUAAUACCCGAAGUCAGUAGUCCAACCUCGUGAGGACGCUGCCGAAGGUAGGAUUGGCGACUGGGGUGAAGUCGUAACAAGGUAUC